UAACACAUGCAAGUCGUACGAGAAAGUCCGCUUCGGUGGAUGAGUAAAGUGGCGCACGGGUGAGUAACGCGUGGAUAAUCUACCCCUCAGUCUGGAAUAACGUACCGAAAGGUGCGCUAAUACCGGAUGACACUGCACAACUACUGUUGUGUAGUCAAAGAUGGCCUCUGCUUGCAAGCUUUCGCUGAAGGAUGAGUCCGCGUACCAUUAGCUAGUUGGUGGGGUAAUGGCCUACCAAGGCUGCGAUGGUUAGCUGGUCUGAGAGGAUGAUCAGCCACACUGGAACUGAGACACGGUCCAGACUCCUACGGGAGGCAGCAGUGAGGAAUAUUGCGCAAUGGGGGCAACCCUGACGCAGCAACGCCGCGUGAGUGAGGAAGGUUUUCGGACCGUAAAGCUCUGUCGAGCGGGAAGAAAUGCAUUAUGGCUAAUAUCCAUAAUGCUUGACGGUACCAUUAGAGGAAGCACCGGCUAACUCCGUG
Molecule: ribosomal RNA, 482 nt
Filed under: uncultured bacterium
Lineage: Bacteria
Description: bacterial SSU rRNA
Rfam family: Bacterial small subunit ribosomal RNA
Source: RNAcentral